GGAUGGGACCGGCGCGGCGGAUACCAGCGAACCUCGUCAGGUCCGAGAGGAAGCAGCGAUAAGGUGGAUCAUCCGGGCGCCGCCGGGAAACCUGUCCGGA
Molecule: non-coding RNA, 100 nt
Organism: Anaerolineae bacterium
Lineage: Bacteria; Bacillati; Chloroflexota; Anaerolineae
Rfam family: Bacterial small signal recognition particle RNA
About the family: The signal recognition particle (SRP) is a universally conserved ribonucleoprotein involved in the co-translational targeting of proteins to membranes.
Source: Rfam